RNAcentral lists this transfer RNA (67 nucleotides) under uncultured Stomatobaculum sp. It matches the Rfam family "tRNA". From Rfam's summary of the family: Transfer RNA (tRNA) molecules are approximately 80 nucleotides in length. The record is from RNAcentral. Lineage: Bacteria; Bacillati; Bacillota; Clostridia; Lachnospirales; Lachnospiraceae.
AGGAAUAGUUCAGUGGUAGAACGUCGGUCUCCAAAACCGAUAACGGGGGUUCGAGUCCCUCUUCCUC